GGGACAACAGUUGGAAACGACUGCUAAUACCGCAUGACACAUAGGUGUCGCAUGGCACUUAUGUCAAAGAUUUAUCGCUGAAAGAUGGCCUCGCGUCUGAUUAGCUAGUUGGUGAGGUAACGGCCCACCAAGGCGACGAUCAGUAGCCGGACUGAGAGGUUGAACGGCCACAUUGGGACUGAGAUAUGGCCCAGACUCCUACGGGAGGCAGCAGUGGGGAAUAUUGGGCAAUGGGCGCAAGCCUGACCCAGCAACGCCGCGUGAAGGAAGAAGGCUUUCGGGUUGUAAACUUCUUUUGUCAGGGACGAGUAGAAGACGGUACCUGACGAAUAAGCCACGGCUAACUACGUGCCAGCGGCCGCGGUAAUACGUAGGUGGCAAGCGUUGUCCGGAUUUACUGGGUGUAAAGGGCGUGUAGCCGGGAGGGCAAGUCAGAUGUGAAAUCCACGGGCUCAACUCGUGAACUGCAUUUGAAACUACUCUUCUUGAGUAUCGGAGAGGCAAUCGGAAUUCCUAGUGUAGCGGUGAAAUGCGUAGAUAUUAGGAGGAACACCAGUGGCGAAGGCGGAUUGCUGGACGACAACUGACGGUGAGGCGCGAAAGCGUGGGGGGCAAACAGGAUUAGAUACCCUGGUAGUCCACGCUGUAAACGAUGAAUACUAGGUGUGCGGGGACUGACCCCCUGCGUGCCGCAG
This 695-nucleotide ribosomal RNA is filed under the name uncultured bacterium. RNAcentral's name for it is "bacterial SSU rRNA". It matches the Rfam family "Bacterial small subunit ribosomal RNA", at positions 140 to 851 of the family's 1533-position model. The record is from RNAcentral.